GAGUUCAUGCCCGAAAGGGUAGACCUCCCACCCUUGUGUAUUAUUACUUUGUUGCUUUGGCGAGCUGCCUUCGGGCCUUGUAUGCUCGCCAGAGAAUAUCAAAACUCUUUUUAUUAAUGUCGUCUGAGUAAAAAGUUUAAUAUUUAAAACUUUCAACAACGGAUCUCUUGGCUCU
This 175-nucleotide unclassified non-coding RNA is filed under the name rhizosphere metagenome. RNAcentral's name for it is "partial ribosomal RNA internal transcribed spacer region". The record is from RNAcentral.